GACGAACGCUGGCGGCGUGCUUAACACAUGCAAGUCGAACGGUAAGGCCCUUCGGGGUACACGAGUGGCGAACGGGUGAGUAACACGUGGGUAAUCUGCCCUGCACAUCGGGAUAAGCCUGGGAAACUGGGUCUAAUACCGAAUAGGACCACAGGACACAUGUCCUGUGGUGGAAAGCUUUUGCGGUGUGGGAUGGGCCCGCGGCCUAUCAGCUUGUUGGUGGGGUGAUGGCCUACCAAGGCGACGACGGGUAGCCGGCCUGAGAGGGUGUCCGGCCACACUGGGACUGAGAUGCGGCCCAGACUCCUACGGGAGGCAGCAGUGGGGAAUAUUGCACAAUGGGCGAAAGCCUGAUGCAGCGACGCCGCGUGGGGGAUGACGGCCUUCGGGUUGUAAACCUCUUUCACCAUCGACGAAGGUCCGGGUUUUCUCGGGCUGACGGUAGGUGGAGAAGAAGCACCGGCCAACUACGUG
This 474-nucleotide ribosomal RNA is filed under the name uncultured bacterium. RNAcentral describes it as "partial 16S ribosomal RNA". It matches the Rfam family "Bacterial small subunit ribosomal RNA", at positions 28 to 507 of the family's 1533-position model. The record is from RNAcentral.